AAAAAUGGGGAAACAUAAGCAGGUGGUUGUGUUCGGACUUUUUGUUUAGACUUUGAAGAGAAUAAGAAAAAAGAAUCUCAGUCACGGUCUUCACGGAUUCAUAGUCAGAUGAUAUAAAAAAAAAAAAUCAAAGUUCCAGACGAGUUUAGAUUUUGAGAUACAGUAGGCUACGUACGGAUCAGGGAACAGUGGAGAAGAACAAAAUAGCCCUACACAGAUUGAAACGAGGGACAAAAAUGGUUGCUGCUUCCCUGUGAGCCUUCAAAAGUCUCGUAAGGAUAGCUUCAAGUUGAAAAAAGAGUUCCCCAGAAGGUUCACCUAAAGCUUCUCCUAAUGGUUCAUUUAAAACGCCUGUUGUUGAUAAAAAUAAAGGGUGCCAGGAGAAAAAACAGCUGGUCGUUUGUUUUGGGGGGAUGUUGAUUGAUUUUGUGCCAAAUGUUGGUGGAGUUUCACUAUCAGAAGCACCUUCUUUUAAGAAAGCUCCCGGUGGAGCUCCUGCCAAUGUUGCUGUUGGGAUUGCUAGACUAGGAGGCUUUGCUGCUUUUAUUGGCAAGGUGCAAUGUUGCAUGUGUGCAACUACAAGGCACAAUUUAAGACUUAUGAGGAGUCUUCCAUAUUUGUGCCUUAUGAGGAGUCUUCCAUGGAACUAGAGGUGUUUGUGGACAUCCACAGUAAGGCAAAACUUCAUGGAAAGUGCAUUGUUGAAGUGAACUUGAGUUUUGGUAGGUCAUAGGUGAAGAUGAGUUUGGUUACAUGUUGGGCCGAUAUUCUUGUAGAAAAUAAUGUUGUCAAUUCUGGAAUGCCUUUUGAUCCACAUGCAAGGACAGCAUUGGCAUUUGUUACACUGAGAGAUGAUGGCGAGCGUGAAUUCAUGUUUUAUUGCAACCCUAGUGCUGAUAUGCUUCUUCAUGAAGAUGAAAUUGAUGCAAACCUAAUUAAGAAGGCAAACAUAUUACAUUAUGGAUCGAUUAGUUUGAUUGAGGAACCUUGUAGAUCUGCUCAUCUUGCUGCCGUGGACAUUGCUAAGAAGUCUGGUUGUCUCCUAUCUUAUGACCCAAAUUUGAGGUUGCCACUUUGGCCAUCUGCAGAGGCUGCUAGAGAUGGUAUUAUGAGCAUAUGGAACCAAUCCGACAUUACUAAGUGAGGAGGAAAUCACAUUCUUGAUGAUCCUUAUGAUGAUGAUGAUAUUGUGCUGAAGAAGCUUUUCCACCCUAAUCUUAAGCUACUGAAGGAGCACAAGGCUGCAGAUGCUAUACAAAAGAAUUCAAGGGCAGGGUUGGUGGUGUUAAGGUUGAAGCUGUUGACACAACUGGUGCAGGUGACGCUUUUAUAGGUGGAAUCUUGAACAUUUUGGCUUCAUAUCCAAAUCUUUAUAAGAUUUUGCGAUACAGUAGGCUACGAAUCAGGGAACAGUGGAGAAGGACAAACUAAACCAACAGUACAAAGAUUGAAACGAGGGACAAA
Molecule: RNA transcript, 1464 nt
Organism: Quercus lobata
Lineage: Eukaryota; Viridiplantae; Streptophyta; Magnoliopsida; Fagales; Fagaceae
Gene name: probable fructokinase-7
Exons: 9
Source: RefSeq, a predicted model, not a curated record